Molecule: ribosomal RNA, 465 nt
Filed under: Vreelandella stevensii
Lineage: Bacteria; Pseudomonadati; Pseudomonadota; Gammaproteobacteria; Oceanospirillales; Halomonadaceae
Description: partial 16S ribosomal RNA
Rfam family: Bacterial small subunit ribosomal RNA
Source: RNAcentral
CCUACGGGUGGCAGCAGUGGGGAAUAUUGGACAAUGGGCGAAAGCCUGAUCCAGCCAUGCCGCGUGUGUGAAGAAGGCCUUCGGGUUGUAAAGCACUUUCAGUGGGGAAGAAAGCCUUGGGGCUAAUACCCUCGAGGAAGGACAUCACCCACAGAAGAAGCACCGGCUAACUCCGUGCCAGCAGCCGCGGUAAUACGGAGGGUGCGAGCGUUAAUCGGAAUUACUGGGCGUAAGGCGCGCGUAGGCGGUCUGAUAAGCCGGUUGUGAAAGCCCCGGGCUCAACCUGGGAACGGCAUCCGGAACUGUCAGGCUAGAGUGCAGGAGAGGAAGGUAGAAUUCCCGGUGUAGCGGUGAAAUGCGUAGAGAUCGGGAGGAAUACCAGUGGCGAAGGCGGCCUUCUGGACUGACACUGACGCUGAGGUGCGAAAGCGUGGGUAGCAAACAGGAUUAGAUACCCUAGUAGUC